GGACGGGUGAGUAACGCGUGGGUAACCUGCCUCACACUGGGGGAUAACAGUUAGAAAUAGCUGCUAAUACCGCAUAAGCGCACAGCUCCGCAUGGAGCGGUGUGAAAAACUCCGGUGGUGUGAGAUGGACCCGCGUCUGAUUAGCCAGUUGGCGGGGUAACGGCCCACCAAAGCGACGAUCAGUAGCCGGCCUGAGAGGGUGAACGGCCACAUUGGGACUGAGACACGGCCCAAACUCCUACGGGAGGCAGCAUG
RNAcentral lists this ribosomal RNA (255 nucleotides) under uncultured bacterium. RNAcentral's name for it is "partial 16S ribosomal RNA". It matches the Rfam family "Bacterial small subunit ribosomal RNA", at positions 100 to 353 of the family's 1533-position model. The record is from RNAcentral.